Molecule: ribosomal RNA, 365 nt
Filed under: Doryidomorpha fulva
Lineage: Eukaryota; Metazoa; Arthropoda; Insecta; Coleoptera; Chrysomelidae
Description: partial 16S ribosomal RNA
Source: RNAcentral
UUAAAUGGCCGCGGUAUUUUGACCGUGCUAAGGUAGCAUAAUCAUUAGUUUUUUAAUUGAAAGCUAGAAUGAAGGGUUUGAUGAAAAAUUAACUGUCUCUAUUUUAAUUAUUUAGAAUUUUAUUUUUAAGUUAAAAAGCUUAAAUUUAUUUAUAAGACGAGAAGACCCUAUAGAGUUUUAUAAAAUAUUUGUAUUUUAAUUUUAGAAUUUAAUUUAAAAUAUUAUGUUUUAUUUGAUUGGGGUGAUUGAAAAAUUUAAUUAACUUUUUUUUUAUUUUUAUAUUUAUUAAUAGAUUAUUGAUCCAAUAUAAUUGAUUAUAAGAUUAAAUUACCUUAGGGAUAACAGCGUAAUUUUAUUGGAGAGUU